CUAACACAACCUUUAUUUCCGGAAAGUAUGUACCGACUAUUUGUUUGACAACUGCCUCGUCUUAUAUUUAUUGGCUGAAGUAAGAACAAAUAUGUCAGCGGCGAAGGCAUCUCUGCCACUGUACAUCGUGGAUGCAUUCACAGAUACGCCUUUCCAUGGCAAUCCCGCAGCUAUAUGUCUAUUGAAACAGACAUUGUCCGAGGACGAUAUGCAGAAGAUAGCUGCAGAGAUGAAUCUAUCAGAAACAGCUUACAUACAAGGAAUAAACAGUAACAACUGUGACUUUACAAAAGAUGACAGGUUUAACUUAAGAUGGUUCACACCGACCAAUGAGGUUCCUCUAUGUGGUCAUGCUACCAUGGCAUCUGCUGCUGUCAUCUUUUUUGUCUGUGACAACCCAUCGCCAUGUGUAACGUUCCAGACACUAAGUGGAGACUUGAUAGUCCAGAGACAGGGACAGGGGAUCACAAUGAACUUCCCUCUCAACACUCCACAACCAGAGAAUUUCGAAAAUGUUGAAAAUCUAUUAAAUUUAGUUACCAAGAAGGAAAUGAUUGACAGCAUUCAUUAUUCCAGCAACACAAAGAAGCUGUUAGUAAGACUUACAGACACCUGUUCAAGGGCUGACUUGGAGAACCUUCAACCUGAAAUUACAAACUUCCAAAAGGUGGAGUCUUCUGGACGAAUCAUGGGUGUGAUAGUGACGGUAAGAGGAGAGAAGGGGGAUGGAAAACAGAAGACAUAUGAUUUUCUGUCCAGAUACUUUGCUCCAUGGAACGGCAUACCGGAAGAUCCUGUCACAGGAUCAGCUCACACAGUGCUUGCCGGCUAUUGGUCGCAGGUUCUAGAGAAGACCACAAUGCAAGGAAACGUAAGACUGCGUUGACAUGCUUGAUCCCGGUCUUUGGUGGACACGACUGGAUAAGCAGCAAUUUUGAGAGGAUGUUUCAGAUAGAGUACAAGUCAAUAGUAGCAUACCCUGGAUCGUCGGCAAGCAGCUGCUAUUAUGAGGAUGUCCCUAAAGGGUAACCAGUAGCCUCUACCCCACUGUGUUUUAUACAUUGGUAUGGAACUGUUGGUAGAGUCGCCUUCUGGAGGGAGAUUCCAAAAGGAUUAUCAUUGCCUUUACCCCUUGGGUCUUCCGCGGCACAUUAGUUCCUAACUGUUAAGCGAGUCGCCUUCUUUUUUAAUAUCUCGACAGGUUCUGAUAGAUUAUUGUUUUGUUUUAAUUCGUCUUUUAUUAAUUGUUUGUUUGUUUUUUUACUAUAUUCCACUAUCAACCAUUGUAAUAUUCCUCAAUAUUUGUAUCGAUCCAAAUUUUCUGUGUUUAUAUCCACUUUCAUAGCAUAGACUAGUUCGUAAGAAUACCAUUCAAACUACACCGUUUACCGCUCUUGUCUUCCGUAUGAUUGCAUCAAUGCACUCCGGAUUUCAGGAUAUCGGUGAUACAUUCGGAUAGGAUAUUCUACAUUGGACCCAUGCCUGCAACUACAAUUGCCUUUCCGGAUGUUAGUAGAACGAUUAAAGGCUGCUGUCGCGAGGCAUGUAGCUGAAGUGGUCGGCCUGUUGUGUUAGCGGUUCCCUAAGGAUUUAGUACGCUUUGCGACAAACUGCUCGACAGCGAAGGCUGUCAACCAGUUGCCCAUCCCUACCACGGAGUCAGAUACAAUUGAUCACACAGAGACAAAAUACCAAUAGGUGGCGCUAAACAACAAAAUACCAAAAGGUAAAAACCAUUAGGUGAUGCUACACAACAAAAUACCAGUAGGUGGCGCUACAUAGCAAAAACCAAAAGGUAGCGCUACACAUUCUUUUUCAAAUAUGUUGAGUAAUAUUGUAUUUUGAAGUUGUAUGUGAUUUAUAAACUGAAUAGUAAAGAUCGAUUUAUGCUCGCUGAUUAGAACCAACGCUUCCCGAAUUUCAAUGAAAUAACCCAGAGUCGUCAACAUACCGUAUUGGUAAGUAGCUGAUACUGUAAUCAGUCUGGUGAGAAACACACAUGGUGAACUAUGGAGUUUUAAAUGGGUAAUUCUAUGCUAUUUGGGAGGUUGGACUUACCUGAGUUGUGUUAGACAGGGCACUGUAUCGCCUUAGACAUUAAUAAAUAAUGAUAAACAUUGA
Molecule: RNA transcript, 2121 nt
Organism: Ylistrum balloti
Lineage: Eukaryota; Metazoa; Mollusca; Bivalvia; Pectinida; Pectinidae
Gene name: phenazine biosynthesis-like domain-containing protein 1
Exons: 10
Source: RefSeq, a predicted model, not a curated record